RNAcentral lists this ribosomal RNA (800 nucleotides) under uncultured ciliate. Its description in RNAcentral is "SSU rRNA". It matches the Rfam family "Eukaryotic small subunit ribosomal RNA", at positions 50 to 871 of the family's 1831-position model. Lineage: Eukaryota; Ciliophora. The record is from RNAcentral.
CAUGCAUGUCUAAGUAUAAGUAUUAUACAGCGAAACUGCGAAUGGCUCAUUAAAACAGUUAUGGUUUAUUUGAUAAUCGAAUUUUACAUGGAUAACCGUGGUAAUUCUAGAGCUAAUACAUGCUGGUGUGCCUGACUUUUCGGAAGGGCGGUAUUUAUUAGAUAACGAACCAAUAUUCCUCUGGUCUAUUGUGGUGAAUCAUAAUAACUGAUCGAAUCGCAAAGCCUUUGGCUGCGAUAUGUCAUUCAAGUUUCUGCCCCAUCAGCUUUCGAUGGUAGUGUAUUGGACUACCAUGGCUUUUACGGGUAACGGAGAAUUAGGGUUCGAUUCCGGAGAGGGAGCCUGAGAAACGGCUACCACAUCUAAGGAAGGCAGCAGGCGCGUAAAUUACCCAAUCCUGACUCAGGGAGGUAGUGACAAGAAAUAACGGACCGGCCUUUUAGGCUCGGGAUUGCAAUGAGCCGAAUUUACACCCCUUAGCGAGGACCCAUUGGAGGGCAAGUCUGGUGCCAGCAGCCGCGGUAAUUCCAGCUCCAAUAGCGUAUAUUAAAGUUGUUGCAGUUAAAAAGCUCGUAGUUGGAUUUCUGGGGAGGUGCCAAUGUCACCUUAGUGUUGCGCAGCGGCGCCUCUCCAUCCUUCUGUUAACGUCGUUGGACCUUAAUCAGUCUGCGGCGGGCUCAGAUAUUUUACCUUGAGAAAAUUAGAGUGUUUCAGGCAGGCCAGACCGGAAUACAUUAGCAUGGAAUAAUGGAAUAGGACUUUAGUCUCUUUGUUGGUUUGGGGGACUGCAGUAAUGAUUA